GUAGGUGAACCUGCGGAGGGAUCAUUACACAAUACGAAGGCGGGCUGGACAAACCCCCCUAGCUGGGCACUGCUUCACGGCGGUGCGCGGUUUGGGUGGCCGGCCCUGCUGAACUAUUCACCCGUGUCUUUUGCGUACCUCUUGUUUCCUGGGCGGGCUCGCCCGCCACCAGGACCAACCAUAAACCUUUUUGUAAUAGCAAUCCGCGUCAGUAAACAAUGUAAUCAAUUACAACUUUCAACAACGGAUCUCUUGGUUCUG
RNAcentral lists this unclassified non-coding RNA (261 nucleotides) under rhizosphere metagenome. RNAcentral's name for it is "partial ribosomal RNA internal transcribed spacer region". The record is from RNAcentral.